Molecule: ribosomal RNA, 253 nt
Filed under: uncultured bacterium
Lineage: Bacteria
Description: partial 16S ribosomal RNA
Rfam family: Bacterial small subunit ribosomal RNA
Source: RNAcentral
UACGGAGGGUGCGGGCUUUAAUCGGAAUUACUGGGCGUAAAGCGCACGUAGGCGGUUGGGUAAGUCGGAUGUGAAAGCCCUGGGCUUAACCUGGGAACUUCAUUCGAUACUGCUCGGCUAGAGUAUGGGAGAGGGAAGCGGAAUUUCCGGUGUAGCGGUGAAAUGCGUAGAUAUCGGAAGGAACACCAAUGGCGAAGGCAGCUUCCUGGCCCAAUACUGACGCUCAGGUGCGAAAGCGUGGGGAUCAAACAGG